RNAcentral lists this ribosomal RNA (253 nucleotides) under uncultured bacterium. RNAcentral describes it as "partial 16S ribosomal RNA". It matches the Rfam family "Bacterial small subunit ribosomal RNA", at positions 524 to 776 of the family's 1533-position model. The record is from RNAcentral.
UACGAAGGGGGCUAGCGUUGCUCGGAAUUACUGGGCGUAAAGCGCACGUAGGCGGGUUCUUAAGUCGGUGGUGAAAUCCUGGAGCUCAACUCCAGAACUGCCUUCGAAACUGGGAAUCUUGAGUCCGGGAGAGGUGAGUGGAACUGCGAGUGUAGAGGUGAAAUUCGUAGAUAUUCGGAAGAACACCAGUGGCGAAGGCGGCUCACUGGACUGGUAUUGACGCUGAGGUGCGAAAGCGUGGGGAGCAAACAGG